Molecule: ribosomal RNA, 305 nt
Filed under: uncultured bacterium
Lineage: Bacteria
Description: bacterial SSU rRNA
Rfam family: Bacterial small subunit ribosomal RNA
Source: RNAcentral
AACCUACGGGACGCAGCAGUGGGGAAUCUUGCACAAUGGGCGAAAGCCUGAUGCAGCAACGCCGCGUGAGCGAAGAAGGCCUUUGGGUCGUAAAGCUCUGUCCUAAGGGAAGAAGGAAGUGACGGUACCUUAGGAGGAAGCCCCGGCUAACUACGUGCCAACAGCCGCGGUAAUACGUAGGGGGCAAGCGUUAUCCGGAAUUAUUGGGCGUAAAGAGUACGUAGGCGGCUCUUUAAGCGCAGGGUUUAAGGCGAUAGCUUAACUAUCGUUCGCCCUGUGAACUGGGGGACUUGAGUAUCGGAGAG